AUUUCUUGUGUUAUCCAAAGCCAGCAACUGGUGCAGCUUUCUCUCCUCCUCCUUAAAACAGUGCUUAACCAAAAAAGAAAAGAAAAACCACCAGCUUUCUCUCUCUCUCCUCAGACUUCACUCUCCUCUUCUUCCUUACCAUAAGAAAACCAAGCUGAGAUGAAGUCAGCAGCGGCUACACCACAGGCAUUUGUAGACUGAACCAACUCAGCCAACCUGUUCCUUACGAUGAAUGUAGGGCAGCGGCCUCAUCCCACGCGCGUUUGGAGUAAUCUCCACGCGCGACCUCAACCACCACCACCACCACCACCACCAGCAGAAUCGUCAGUCUACAACAUAAUCCCAAUACACGACCUACUCACGGACCACCCUUCUCUCCGGUAUCCGGAGGUCCGAGCAGCUGCCUCUUCCCUUCGCACGGUCGGCGACCUCCGUAAACCACCGUAUGUAACAUGGGACCCGCACUGGGACUUGAUGGACUGGCUUGGUGUCUUCUUUGGGUUUCAGAACGACAGCGUUAGGAACCAGAGAGAACACCUAGUUCUUCACUUAGCAAACUCCCAAAUGCGGCUUGAAAAGCCGCCGCUUGUCCCUGACGCGCUCGACCCCGCCGUUCUCCGCCGGUUUCGGAAGAAGUUGUUGGGAAACUACACUUCUUGGUGCUCUUAUUUGAGGCGUAAGUCGGAGGUGAUUAUACCGAAAGCUAGGGAUGACAAUAGUCUUCGCCGUGAAUUGCUUUAUGUUGGGCUUUUUCUCCUUGUUUGGGGAGAAUCUGCAAAUCUGCGCUUCGUGCCGGAGUGUAUUUGUUAUAUUUAUCAUCAUAUGGCAAUGGAAUUGAAUAAAGUUCUUGAUGAUUGGCCUGACCCUAAUACGGGUAGGGCUUUUUUGCCUUCAAUUUCUGGUGAUUGUGCGUUUUUGAAGAGUAUUGUUAUGCCAUUUUAUAAGACUAUUAAGACUGAGGUUGAGAGUAGUCGAAAUGGGAGUAAGCCGCAUUCGGCUUGGAGGAAUUAUGAUGAUAUAAAUGAGUUUUUUUGGAGUAGGAGGUGUUUUAGGAAGUUAAAAUGGCCUAUUGACUUCUCGUGUAAUUUUUUCGCUGAUGUUGAGAAGAUUAGGAGAGUAGGGAAGACAGGUUUUGUGGAGCAAAGGUCAUUCUGGAAUGUGUUUAGGAGUUUCGAUAAGCUUUGGGUUCUGCUGAUUUUGUAUUUCCAAGCUAGUCUGAUUGUUGCUUGGGAGAGGACUGAAUAUCCGUGGCAGGCGUUGGAGAGGCGAGAUGUUCAGGUUGCGCUGUUGACUUGUUUUAUUACUUGGUCUGGGCUUAGAUUUGUGCAGUCGGUGCUUGAUGCAGGGACGCAGUAUAGCCUGGUUUCGAGGGAGACAAUGCUGUUAGGGGUGAGGAUGGGGUUGAAAAGUAUGGUUGCUUUGACGUGGACCGUGGUGUUUGGAGUCUUUUAUGGGAGGAUUUGGAGCGCAAAGAAUUCUGCUGGAUUUUGGUCUUCCGAGGCAGACAGGAGAAUAGUGACAUUUCUUGAGGCUGCCUUUGUGUUUGUUAUCCCUGAGUUGCUGGCAGUGUUGUUUUUUAUUCUUCCUUGGAUUAGGAAUGCCCUUGAAGAAUUGGAUUGGAGUAUUUUGUAUGUGUUCACUUGGUGGUUUCACACUCGGAUUUUCGUGGGACGUGGACUGCGGGAAGGGCUUCUUAACAAUAUCAGUUAUACAUUGUUUUGGAUUGCAGUAUUGGCUUCGAAAUUUGUGUUCAGCUAUUUCCUUCAAAUCAAGCCUCUGGUUGCCCCAACUCAGGCUCUGUUGGAUCUCGGGCAGGUGUCUUACAAUUGGCAUGAGUUUUUCAGUAGCAGUAACAGAAUCGCUGUUGUGCUGUUGUGGCUGCCUGUUGUUCUAAUUUAUUUAAUGGAUUUGCAAAUCUGGUAUGCUAUUUUCUCUUCAUUUGUUGGUGCAGCAAUUGGGUUGUUUUCUCACUUGGGUGAGAUUAGGAAUGUUGGACAGCUUAGGCUUAGGUUUCAGUUCUUUGCCAGUGCUAUGCAAUUUAAUCUCAUGCCUGAAGAACAGUUGCUAGGUCCUAAGAUGACACUGGUGAAGAAGCUCCGUGAUGCAAUCCACAGAUUAAAGCUAAGAUAUGGACUUGGCCAGCCUUACAGAAAGAUUGAAUCAAGCCAAGUGGAGGCAACUAGAUUUGCCUUGAUAUGGAAUGAGAUUGUGACAACAUUUCGGGAAGAAGAUCUCAUCAGUGAUCGGGAAUUUGAACUCUUAGAACUGCCACCUAAUUGUUGGAGCAUUAGGGUUAUUCGCUGGCCAUGCAUCUUGCUCAGCAAUGAGUUGUUGCUUGCCCUGAACCAGGCAAAAGAGCUGGCAGAUGCACCUGAUAGGUGGAUUUGGUUGAAGGCAAGUCAAAGUGAGUAUAGACGGUGCGCUAUAAUUGAAGCAUAUGAUAGCAUCAAGUAUUUGCUUCUUAUGGUUGUUAAACAGGGCACAAAAGAGAAUUCUAUUGUUGCAAAUAUUUUUCGAGAAAUAGAUGAGAAAAUACACAUUGAGAAGUUCACCGAGUCUUACAAGAUGAAUCUUCUAGAAGAUAUUCUUUCAAAAUUAAUAUCACUUGUUGAGCUUCUGAUGAGACCAUGGAAAGAUCUUAGCAAAGCAGUGAAUAUAUUGCAGGCCUUGUAUGAGAUUUAUGUUCGAGAAUUUCCAAAAAGUAAGAGGAGCGCUCUGCAAUUGAAACAAGAUGGUUUGGCCCCUCAUGGUCCAGAUUCUGGUGAAGGGUUGCUCUUUGAGAAUGCUAUUGAGUUUCCUGAUGCUGAGGAUGAAUUCUUCAAUAGGCAAGUACGUCGUUUGCACACAGUUCUUACUUCUAGAGACUCGAUGCAUGAUGUCCCAAAGAAUAUCGAGGCAAGGCGACGUAUUGCCUUCUUUAGCAACUCAGUGUUCAUGAACAUGCCCCGUGCUCCCAAUGUCGAGAAAAUGAUGGCUUUCAGUGUUCUGACGCCUUACUAUGAGGAAGAUGUGUGCUUUGGCAAACAAGACAUUCGAUCCCCCAAUGAAGAUGGCAUUUCCAUAAUCUUUUAUCUGCAGAAAAUCUAUGAAGAUGAGUGGAAUAAUUUUAUGGAGCGCAUGCACAGAGAGGGAAUGGAGGAUGAGGAUGAAAUCUGGGAGAAGAGGUCUAGGGAUCUCCGACUUUGGGCUUCGCACAGAGGCCAGACACUAUCCCGCACCGUGAGGGGAAUGAUGUAUUAUUAUCGAGCACUUAAGACACUUUCCUAUUUAGAUUCAGCAUCUGAGAUGGAUAUAAAGAUGGGCACACAAGAACUUGCUUCUCAUCACUCAUUGAGAAACAGUCGUGUUUUGGAUGGUCUUAACUCAAUCAAGCCACCCUCUGCACCUAGACUGACCAAAGCUAGCAGCAACGUCAGUCUUUUGUUUAAAGGGCAUGAGUAUGGGAGUGCUCUGAUGAAAUUUACAUAUGUAGUCGCCUGCCAGUUGUAUGGACAGCAAAAGGCAAAGCCGGACCACCGUGCUGAAGAGAUUCUAUAUCUCAUGAAAAACAAUGAGGCCCUUCGAGUUGCUUAUGUUGAUGAGGUUAACUUGGGGAGAGAUGGAGUGGAGUAUUAUUCAGUUCUUGUGAAGUAUGAUCAGCAGCUGCAGAGGGAAGUGGAGAUUUAUCGGAUCAGAUUACCUGGUUCCAUAAAGAUUGGAGAAGGGAAGCCUGAAAAUCAGAACCAUGCUAUAAUCUUUACUCGUGGUGAUGCAGUCCAGACCAUUGACAUGAACCAGGAUAAUUACUUUGAAGAGGCACUGAAGAUGCGGAAUUUGCUGGAGGAAUUUAAAGCCUUUUAUGGUAUCAGGAGACCAACCAUUUUAGGAGUCCGUGAGAAUAUCUUCACUGGUUCAGUGUCCUCACUUGCUUGGUUCAUGUCAGCUCAGGAGACAAGUUUUGUCACCCUGGGGCAGCGUGUUCUUGCAAACCCUUUGAAGGUGCGAAUGCAUUACGGUCACCCAGAUGUGUUUGAUAGGUUCUGGUUCUUGCCUAGGGGUGGAAUCAGCAAGGCUUCCAAAGUUAUCAAUAUCAGUGAAGAUAUAUUUGCUGGCUUCAAUUGCACGCUUCGAGGUGGCAAUGUGACGCACCAUGAGUAUAUACAGGUAGGUAAGGGAAGGGAUGUUGGCUUGAAUCAGAUUUCAAUGUUUGAGGCAAAGAUUGCAAGUGGCAAUGGUGAGCAGGUUUUGAGCAGGGAUGUAUAUCGAUUGGGCCACAGAUUGGAUUUCUUCCGGAUGCUUUCUUUUUACUACUCAACUGUUGGGUUCUACUUCAACAUGAUGAUGGUGGUCAUGACUGUUUACACAUUCUUAUGGGGUCGCCUUUAUCUUGCUCUCAGUGGUGUUGAGAAAUAUGCACUGAACCAUAGCAGCAACAACAAGGCUCUUGGCACAAUUCUGAACCAGCAGUUCAUUAUCCAGCUAGGACUCUUCACCGCCCUCCCAAUGAUCGUAGAGAACACACUUGAGCAUGGAUUUCUUCCAGCAUUGUGGGACUUUCUGACAAUGCAGUUGCAGCUAGCCUCACUUUUUUACACGUUCUCCAUGGGAACUCGUUCCCAUUUCUUUGGUCGGACUAUUCUUCAUGGGGGUGCCAAAUACCGAGCAACGGGUCGUGGUUUUGUGGUGCAGCACAAGAGCUUUGCUGAGAACUAUAGACUCUAUGCACGAAGCCAUUUCGUGAAGGCAGUUGAACUUGGAGUCAUUCUAACAGUUUAUGCUGCCAACAGCCCAUUGGCUCGGAAUACUUUUGUUUACAUUGCCAUGACUAUAUCUAGCUGGUUCCUUGUGAUUUCAUGGAUAAUGGCCCCCUUCGUGUUCAAUCCUUCUGGUUUUGACUGGCUAAAGACUGUAUAUGACUUUGGAGGUUUUAACAAUUGGAUAUGGUAUAGUGGCGGGGUGUUCACAAAAGCAGAACAAAGCUGGGAAACAUGGUGGUAUGAAGAACAGAGCCAUCUGAGAACAACUGGUCUUUGGGGGAAGCUACUGGAGAUUAUUUUAGAUCUUCGUUUUUUCUUCUUCCAAUAUGGUGUUGUAUAUCAUCUUGACAUUUCUGGUGGAAGCACCAGCAUAGUCGUUUACUUGAUAUCAUGGACAUACAUGGUUGUUGCGGUUGGGAUUUAUGUGAUCAUUGCUUAUGCCAGUGACAAAUUUGCAGCCAAGGAGCACAUCAAAUAUCGUCUAGCACAGCUUACAGUCAUCGUGCUUAUAGUACUAGUGGUUGUUUUAAUGCUGAAAUUCACUAAUUUGACAGUUCUUGAUCUUGUGAGUAGCCUUCUGGCAUUCAUCCCAACAGGGUGGGGCUUUAUUUGCAUUGCCCAGGUACUUAGACCGUUUCUGGAGUCCACUGUUGUGUGGGAUACUGUGGUGUCCUUGGCUCGGCUGUAUGAUUUGCUGUUUGGGGUAAUUGUUAUGGCUCCUGUUGCAUUGCUGUCUUGGUUGCCUGGAUUCCAGUCAAUGCAGACAAGGAUCCUAUUUAACGAGGCAUUCAGCCGAGGACUCCAAAUAUCUCGUAUCCUUACUGGAAAGAAGUCUAACUGAUAUAUAACUUGAGCUGUGUGUUAAAUGAAGUUGGAGAUUCCUCACAACUGCUUUCUGGAUUGUGCAAUGUGAGCGCUAUAAAUUGUGCACGCAAGUUUCUAUGUUGGACUUGAGAACAGAAGUAGACAGGGUGGUGGACUCCUUUCCGACAGACCAAGGAGUUGGUUUUAUUCUAUGCUGCUGCUACCUGAUCUUUACCACUGUCAACUUAAUCCGCUGCUGCCAUAUCAGAUCAUGUUGUUGCAUUCGACUCAUUUCAAGAUCUUCUGCUUGUACAGAAUAAAUAGAAAUGAUUCACAGGAAUUUUGAUCCAGCCGCUCUUUUAUUAUUUUCAUGACUUCGUAAAUAUUGUUGAUAUUGUAAGCUCCAGUGCUAGCUUGUUAGGAGUAGUGCCAAGUAUAUUGCCAGUAAUUCUCUUGAAUUCCAUGUCCAUUGCUAGUUAUUCUGUUGUACUUGUGAGCAUCGAAUAUUGAUUGAAUUGCAUUAAAUAUGAAUUCCGCGUAACACAUUUAGAA
Molecule: RNA transcript, 6092 nt
Organism: Populus euphratica (Euphrates poplar)
Lineage: Eukaryota; Viridiplantae; Streptophyta; Magnoliopsida; Malpighiales; Salicaceae
Gene name: callose synthase 11
Exons: 3
Source: RefSeq, a predicted model, not a curated record